AGGCUUUCAACGGAUAAUAGUUUUCCAUCGGCUUUAGGAGCCGAAGAUCUUGGUGCAAAUCCAAGUGACAGCAU
This 74-nucleotide transfer RNA is filed under the name Gavialis gangeticus (Gharial). RNAcentral describes it as "transfer RNA-Leu". It matches the Rfam family "tRNA". Rfam says of the family: Transfer RNA (tRNA) molecules are approximately 80 nucleotides in length. Their secondary structure includes four short double-helical elements and three loops (D, anti-codon, and T loops). Further hydrogen bonds mediate the characteristic L-shaped molecular structure. tRNAs have two regions of fundamental functional importance: the anti-codon, which is responsible for specific mRNA codon recognition, and the 3' end, to which the tRNAs corresponding amino acid is attached (by aminoacyl-tRNA synthetases). tRNAs cope with the degeneracy of the genetic code in two manners: having more than one tRNA (with a specific anti-codon) for a particular amino acid; and 'wobble' base-pairing, i.e. permitting non-standard base-pairing at the 3rd anti-codon position. The record is from RNAcentral. Lineage: Eukaryota; Metazoa; Chordata; Crocodylia; Gavialidae.